Molecule: ribosomal RNA, 1404 nt
Filed under: Mammaliicoccus sciuri
Lineage: Bacteria; Bacillati; Bacillota; Bacilli; Caryophanales; Staphylococcaceae
Description: bacterial SSU rRNA
Rfam family: Bacterial small subunit ribosomal RNA
Source: RNAcentral
AUGCAGUCGAGCGAACAGAUGAGAAGCUUGCUUCUCUGAUGUUAGCGGCGGACGGGUGAGUAACACGUGGGUAACCUACCUAUAAGACUGGGAUAACUCCGGGAAACCGGGGCUAAUACCGGAUAAUAUUUUGAACCGCAUGGUUCAAUAGUGAAAGACGGUUUCGGCUGUCACUUAUAGAUGGACCCGCGCCGUAUUAGCUAGUUGGUAAGGUAAUGGCUUACCAAGGCGACGAUACGUAGCCGACCUGAGAGGGUGAUCGGCCACACUGGAACUGAGACACGGUCCAGACUCCUACGGGAGGCAGCAGUAGGGAAUCUUCCGCAAUGGGCGAAAGCCUGACGGAGCAACGCCGCGUGAGUGAUGAAGGUCUUCGGAUCGUAAAACUCUGUUGUUAGGGAAGAACAAAUUUGUUAGUAACUGAACAAGUCUUGACGGUACCUAACCAGAAAGCCACGGCUAACUACGUGCCAGCAGCCGCGGUAAUACGUAGGUGGCAAGCGUUAUCCGGAAUUAUUGGGCGUAAAGCGCGCGUAGGCGGUUUCUUAAGUCUGAUGUGAAAGCCCACGGCUCAACCGUGGAGGGUCAUUGGAAACUGGGAAACUUGAGUGCAGAAGAGGAGAGUGGAAUUCCAUGUGUAGCGGUGAAAUGCGCAGAGAUAUGGAGGAACACCAGUGGCGAAGGCGGCUCUCUGGUCUGUAACUGACGCUGAUGUGCGAAAGCGUGGGGAUCAAACAGGAUUAGAUACCCUGGUAGUCCACGCCGUAAACGAUGAGUGCUAAGUGUUAGGGGGUUUCCGCCCCUUAGUGCUGCAGCUAACGCAUUAAGCACUCCGCCUGGGGAGUACGACCGCAAGGUUGAAACUCAAAGGAAUUGACGGGGACCCGCACAAGCGGUGGAGCAUGUGGUUUAAUUCGAAGCAACGCGAAGAACCUUACCAAAUCUUGACAUCCUUUGACCGCUCUAGAGAUAGAGUCUUCCCCUUCGGGGGACAAAGUGACAGGUGGUGCAUGGUUGUCGUCAGCUCGUGUCGUGAGAUGUUGGGUUAAGUCCCGCAACGAGCGCAACCCUUAAGCUUAGUUGCCAUCAUUAAGUUGGGCACUCUAGGUUGACUGCCGGUGACAAACCGGAGGAAGGUGGGGAUGACGUCAAAUCAUCAUGCCCCUUAUGAUUUGGGCUACACACGUGCUACAAUGGAUAAUACAAAGGGCAGCGAAUCCGCGAGGCCAAGCAAAUCCCAUAAAAUUAUUCUCAGUUCGGAUUGUAGUCUGCAACUCGACUACAUGAAGCUGGAAUCGCUAGUAAUCGUAGAUCAGCAUGCUACGGUGAAUACGUUCCCGGGUCUUGUACACACCGCCCGUCACACCACGAGAGUUUGUAACACCCGAAGCCGGUGGAGUAACC